This is a long non-coding RNA of Sceloporus undulatus (fence lizard), 1178 nucleotides long. RefSeq lists it as uncharacterized. Lineage: Eukaryota; Metazoa; Chordata; Lepidosauria; Squamata; Phrynosomatidae. The record is from RefSeq and is a predicted model, not a curated record. The transcript has 3 exons.
CAUUUCUGGGCAUAAUUCAAAGUGUUGGUUUUGACCUAUAAAGCCCUAUAAAGCUUGGGUCCAGGCUAUUUGAAGGACCGUAUCUCCCUGUACAAGCUUCCCAGAGCAUUGAGAUAAUUGAGAAAGGCCCUUUUCUCAGGUGUGUUCAAGCUUUGGAACUCCCUCUCUAGAGAGGCCUUCUGACGGCAGAAUAAUUCCUGCAUGGGAAUUUCAGGACAUUGACUCCUACGAGGAAAAAUUCAGGUGUUACAUUUUUACCUUUCUGAAGGCAAGACAGACUUCAAACUAUGAAGAUACCUUGUUCUGGGCAGUUGUUUCAUGAAUCUCAGGGUUGCAUCCAAUACACCAAUGGCAGCUGAUGGCUUUCAUAUCAGUGAAGUGAAAUGCUAGAUUUCAGCCUCAGGGUUAAAUGUGCUGAAUGCUAUUCCCAAAAUAGGUUCAACGUCUUGGAUGGCAUUUUCAAAGAUAGGACUGAAUUUCAGAGUGGAUUUGCUGCCUCACUGACAUGGGAACCACCAGCCACCACUGAUAUGCAUGUGAUCAAUUAAACUGUAGUUCACAAAAGCCCAUGCCUUUGUGAUUUUUUUGGUAUUUAAUGUGCUACAAAUUCUCUUUUUGUGCAUGUUUGCCUGCCCAUAACAGACUAAAGUUGUAGAUAUCGAUUAACGUGGAUUCUAGGAACCUUGUGCAAAGGCUUUAAAGGAACAGAGGAACUUUGCCUUAAUAGAAAAUGGCUGCUCCACAAACAAUUCAAUGACAGUAGAGGUGAGGAGACGCUUCACUGACAUUUCAGAAGCGAAAUCGGCUUUCACACUCUCACGCUUCAGGUACAUUUUACUGGCACUUAACCCACAGUAAGCACCAGUGUGAAAAUCUUCAUUGAGAAAGAAAAACAUCCCCUUACAUGAUUUUCCUGAACCUAGUUGCCUUCAGAUGUUUUUGGACUACAUCUCCCAUUAUCUCUGGCAUUUGAUGAUGUUGGAAACAGUUUAUGUAAGUUAUUGACCAAAACAUCUGGAGCAGACCAUGCUGAAGCAAAACCUUUUGCAUGGCAGGAGUCCUUAGGAAAGAUGUAAAAGUCACUUCUAGGAGUAUGAUUAUAAGAAAAUUCUCCAGGGAGCAUAGCCAGUGGCCAUAGGGAAUCCUAGGUGCUGCCACCCAAUAAAGUAUAGUAGACC